Long non-coding RNA from Ixodes scapularis (black-legged tick), 661 nucleotides. RefSeq lists it as uncharacterized. The record is from RefSeq and is a predicted model, not a curated record. NCBI's taxonomy places the organism in Eukaryota, Metazoa, Arthropoda, Arachnida, Ixodida, Ixodidae. The transcript has 3 exons.
CCCGGGAGCUACUAUCGCCCAAAGAUGUCACAGGUGGUCAUGAUUCUUUGAGGCAGCGGAAUUUCACCGAAGUGCAUCUUUAACACCUUCAGUUUCUUUUCUACUGCAAGCCUGGUACUACAGCUUGUGGCCCGUGUAGAAGAAUAGAGGGGUGAAACGAAGGCACAAGUGACUGUGGACUCAUGGCCCUCAGACAGCUAGAGCACCAGACCAGGCACAGACCAGAGCCAUUUAUGCUCCACUUCUAGAGGACAUGUUGCGGUUUGAAACUACCAAGACUCAUGGAAGCUGCUGACAGGAGGCUGUUGAAGCCGUGGUCGCAAGGCACCCAUGACAUUGAAGUCUUCCAAACAAGGCACUAUGAAGGCAUGGCUUGUAGCGGCACUGGAGCAAGCGACACGGUCCGGGUGAGCCGCAAGUGUAACUGUUACACUGUAAACAGGAAAUAUAGACAUGUGUCCGACAAAGCACAGACUCAUAAAACUUUCAUGUAGCAAUAAUAGUUUAAUUUAACUAAACAGUGCAUCAACAGAGCCUGACCCAAGAAUGGGGAAUUGGGGAACCGGCCAAUGUGUAGAGUCUAACAGAAACAAGGAAGGCGAUAAAAACAAAUGGGGCAACAUGUUAAGAUAGGACAAUAAUGUCGUGCCUAUUUUUUGUU